RNAcentral lists this long non-coding RNA (1172 nucleotides) under Marmota monax (woodchuck). The record is from RNAcentral. Lineage: Eukaryota; Metazoa; Chordata; Mammalia; Rodentia; Sciuridae.
UGAGCCUGAGCAGCUCUGUCUGAGCACUGGGUGGCGGGGCCUGCUGUAAUCCCAGCACACCAGGGAGCAGACGACUGAGGAAAACCACAGUGCCCACCCCUGCAGUGGCAUUACUCUUAAGACUGUUUUUCUCCCUCUUGGAGUCUUUUCAUGACUUACUAUUUCCAGCACAAAAAGCUACAGGGCGAGAGGUUCACCAGGGCCCUUCUCUUGUGGGCAGCCUCUGGCCAGGGAAGCAGGAGACCCACCAAAGGGUCUGAGCAGCCAGAAGGGCUAGCUUGGGCUCUGGCUCUGUGGAGGACCAGGUCCAGCAAGGGCACAGCCGCUGCAGGAUGCCGUUUGGGAUUCAGCGACACAUUGUAUGGUGUGGAGCUGCAGAAGUUCAGCUUGAAGAGGAGGAGUGUGGGCAUGUGGCACAGAGAAGGGAGUGUGUGGCAUUGAGCCCGAACAGAGGCACAUCAGGUGUCGGCUGUGAAAGCAGGGCAGCUGCGUGGAGCCUCUGAGGGUUACAGGGAGCACAGAGAUGCCCGUCCUCAGGAGACCAGGUCUGCAGUCAGCAAUUCUGGUUUUGUUAUUCUAUUGAUUUUUAUCAGACUUGUAUUAAAGUAUAGUAGAUUGAACCAUAUAAAAUUACUGGUAUUUGACUUUUUUGACCUACCAAAUGAUAGUUUGUGUUUCAACUUAUUUUGGUCAGAAAAUCGUAAGGUAUAGCAGUGCUCUUGGUCUCCACAGGUGAAUGAGCUCAUGUAAUUAGCUCUCCAGGUCCCCCCUUUGUGCUUCUGUCCUGUCAGUGCUCUUCUCCCAGUUCACACUGGUGUCUUGGAGUAGUUUAUAUGAAAGGAAUCAUCAUGUGUUUGGCACCUUUCACUCACCAUCAAAUUGAUGAAAUUUAUCCGUCUAAUUCAUUCACAUUGCUGUCUAAUUUCUAUUGUGUGACCCACAUGCUCCUCAUGGUCCCUGGUUUGUGUUCUAAUGAAAUGGCUGCUUGGGACUUCAAAAGUCCCCACUCCUGCCAUGUGCCUGCUAUCUCACCUCCAGUGCCCACCCAGUGAAGCCAGAGUCAACCCAGAACCACGGAGCCAGCACUGACACGGAGUGAGGCUGCAUCCUCACACUGUGUUGGGGACUUUGUGUCCACACUGAGCCAGAAGAUGGCUGGAGGCUCAUUCUCC